Molecule: ribosomal RNA, 546 nt
Filed under: uncultured bacterium
Lineage: Bacteria
Description: bacterial SSU rRNA
Rfam family: Bacterial small subunit ribosomal RNA
Source: RNAcentral
AAUAGAUACCCAGGUAGUCCACGCCCUAAACGAUGUCGACUAGGUGUUGGGGAAGGAGACUUCCUUAGUACCGCAGCUAACGCGUGAAGUCGACCGCCUGGGGAGUACGGUCGCAAGAUUAAAACUCAAAGGAAUUGACGGGGACCCGCACAAGCGGUGGAUGAUGUGGAUUAAUUCGAUGCAACGCGAAAAACCUUACCUACCCUUGACAUGUACGGAAGUCCGCUGAGAGGUGGAUGUGCCCGAAAGGGAGCCGUAACACAGGUGCUGCAUGGCUGUCGUCAGCUCGUGUCGUGAGAUGUUGGGUUAAGUCCCGCAACGAGCGCAACCCUUGCCAUUAGUUGCCACAUUCAGUUGGGCACUCUAAUGGGACUGCCGGUGACAAACCGGAGGAAGUGGGGAUGACGUCAAGUCCUCAUGGCCCUUAUGGGUAGGGCCUCACACGUCAUACAAUGGCGCGUACAGAGGGUUGCCAAACCCGGCGAGGGGGGGAGCCCGAAUCCCAGAAAGCGCGUCGUAGUCCGGAUUGGAGUCUGCAACUCGACU